RNAcentral lists this transfer RNA (74 nucleotides) under bacterium. RNAcentral describes it as "tRNA-Met". It matches the Rfam family "tRNA". From Rfam's summary of the family: Transfer RNA (tRNA) molecules are approximately 80 nucleotides in length. Their secondary structure includes four short double-helical elements and three loops (D, anti-codon, and T loops). The record is from RNAcentral. RNAcentral also lists the same sequence under 9 other names.
GGCGGUGUAGCUCAGUUGGUUAGAGCAGCGGAAUCAUAAUCCGCGUGUCGGGGGUUCGAAUCCCUCCACCGCUA